CUUCUCUAAGAAUUUAGAACUGGGAAUGGAGGAGAGAAAGAGAGAGAUACUGAUUCUACCAGAGACAAUGGGAUGAGAUAGCAUGGUUGUUGGAACCAUGGCUGGAACUGUAAAGCACAAAUUGGACAGCAGAUAAAGUUGGUUCACAGAGAGAGAGAGAAUGAUGAAGCCAUAGGGAUCCAAGUUUCCCUAUGGCUUUCCUCACCCUAACUCCUGUCCUUCCACAGGUCAGGCUGCAUUUGUAUCCUGGGUCCACAAGACAUCGUUUCCUUAAAACCAAUCCCCCUGAUUUUGCUAAGUGUCUGCAAGCCUAAUAUUUCAUGGAUGUUUGACAAGGACCCCGUCUUUAGCUGAACUAAGGAGAAAGUCCUGCAACACACACAUGGAGCUCAGCAAACGGAGGAUGUAG
This 409-nucleotide long non-coding RNA is filed under the name Homo sapiens (human). Its description in RNAcentral is "non-protein coding lnc-PIWIL4-1:6". The record is from RNAcentral. Lineage: Eukaryota; Metazoa; Chordata; Mammalia; Primates; Hominidae.